GCCUGAUAUCCGUGUUCUGCUUGCUGACACAGAGGAAGGCUUCUUUAAAGACAGCGUCCUUCUUCAUUCCACACAGAGAGAUGAGAGGAGCAGCUAUGAGUUUAACUGCAGCAACAAGUGGAUUUGUCGUCUUCCUUCUCUCUGUGUCAGUGGUACAGAGUCAGUAUGACUGGGGAGUGACGUACACUUAUACUGAGAUCUGUGCCUUCAAAGGAUCAACAGUGGAAAUAAACUGCACCUUU
This is a long non-coding RNA of Micropterus salmoides (largemouth bass), 242 nucleotides long. RefSeq lists it as uncharacterized. Lineage: Eukaryota; Metazoa; Chordata; Actinopteri; Centrarchiformes; Centrarchidae. The record is from RefSeq and is a predicted model, not a curated record. The transcript has 3 exons.